UACGUAGGUGGCGAGCGUUGUUCGGAUUUAUUGGGCGUAAAGGGUCCGCAGGGGGUUGAUUAAGUUUGACGUGAAAUCCCGGAGCUUAGCUCCGGAACCGCGUUGAAGACUGGUUGACUAGAGUGCUGGAGAGGUAAUUGGAAUUCCAGGUGUAGCGGCGGAAUGCGUAGAUAUCUGGAAGGAUAUCGAUAGCGAAGGCAGAUUACUGGACAGCAACUGACCCUCAGGGACGAAAGCAUGGGGAGCAAAC
RNAcentral lists this ribosomal RNA (250 nucleotides) under uncultured prokaryote. Its description in RNAcentral is "partial 16S ribosomal RNA". It matches the Rfam family "Bacterial small subunit ribosomal RNA", at positions 524 to 773 of the family's 1533-position model. The record is from RNAcentral.